This is a long non-coding RNA of Neofelis nebulosa (Clouded leopard), 167 nucleotides long. RefSeq lists it as uncharacterized. The record is from RefSeq and is a predicted model, not a curated record. Lineage: Eukaryota; Metazoa; Chordata; Mammalia; Carnivora; Felidae. The transcript has 3 exons.
UGUCUCUGGAGCUGUGGAUCAGAAAGGGCAAAGUAUAUUAAAUGGACAAGUAGAAGGAGCAGAUAAGAAUGCUGAGGAAGAUUCUAGAGCCAGGCUUUCUGACAAACCUGGUCCUGACGAUUCAUGGUCUACCUCAUCUAGCGAAGACUUAGAUUUUGGUACCAAGG